Molecule: ribosomal RNA, 252 nt
Filed under: uncultured prokaryote
Description: partial 16S ribosomal RNA
Rfam family: Bacterial small subunit ribosomal RNA
Source: RNAcentral
ACGUAGGAGGCGAGCGUUAUCCGGAUUCACUGGGCGUAAAGCGCGUGCAGGCGGUUCGGUAAGUUGGGCGUGAAAUCUCCCGGCUCAACUGGGAGAGGUCGUUCAAUACUACCGGACUUGAGAGCGAUAGAGGAAAAUGGAAUUCCCGGUGUAGUGGUGAAAUGCGUUGAUAUCAGGAGGAACACCAGCGGCGAAGGCGGCUUUCUGGACCGACACUGACGCUGAGGCUCGAAAGCGUCGGGUAGCAAACGG